This is a small nucleolar RNA of Castor canadensis (American beaver), 134 nucleotides long. The record is from Ensembl. NCBI's taxonomy places the organism in Eukaryota, Metazoa, Chordata, Mammalia, Rodentia, Castoridae.
GCAUGGGUUUGGAUUUAUGGCAGGCCUGUCCCCCUGGGCCUCAUAGCGUCCCAUGCCAAAGCAAACUGUAGCCCUGAACCAUUGCCUGGCCUCUCUUUCCAUAGGCUGCUGGCACUGAAGUGGGUUGUACAGUG